CGAAACCUGCNNNNNNNAACGACCCGNGAACUUGAAACUAAAUUGAGGGAACACGGGAUGGGCCAUCGGCUUGUUCGGUGUCUCCUCUCUGCUAGGGGUGAGCAUGUUGUCUUCCGUGGCACAUGUUCACUUUCCUAGCGGAACAACGAACUCCGGCGUGAUCUGCGCCAAGGAAAUUUAACAAAGAGAUCACGCUUCUAUGCUCCCGUUUGCGGGUUGCGGAAAGCGGUAGAUUCUUCCAUAUAA
Molecule: unclassified non-coding RNA, 246 nt
Filed under: Primula nipponica
Lineage: Eukaryota; Viridiplantae; Streptophyta; Magnoliopsida; Ericales; Primulaceae
Description: ITS1
Source: RNAcentral